GGAUUAAGCCAUGCAUGUCUAAGUAUAAAUCGUAUACAGUGAAACUGCGAAUGGCUCAUUAAAACAGUUAUAGUUUACUUGAUAAUCGAAUUCAAUAUGGAUAACCGUAGUAAUUCUAGAGCUAAUACAUGCUGUUUAACCUAACUUUACGGAAAGGUUGUAUUUAUUAGAUAUUAAACCAGCAGCUUUCCAAGCUUCUGUGAUGAUUCAUAAUAACUGAUCGGAGUGAAGCAAGUUCUUCACUAAAUCAUUCAAGUUUCUGCCCUAUCACUUUGAUGAUAGUGUCUUGGACUACCAUGAGGAUCACGGGUACGAGGAAUUAGGGUUUGAUAUCGGAGAGGGAGCCUGAGAAACGGCUACCACUUCUAAGGAAGGCAGCAGGCGCGUAAAUUACCCAAUCUCAAUUCGGGGAGGUAGUGACAAGAAAUAAUAACUCGGGUAGAAUUUUCUAUUACGAGAUUAAAAUGAGAACAAUUUAAAAAUCUUAUCGAGGAACAAUGAGAGGACAAGUCUGGUGCCAGCACCCGCGGUAAUUCCAGCUCUUAUAGUGUAUAUUAAAGUUGUUGCAGUUAAAAAGCUCGUAGUCGAUCAUCUAGUGCUCGGCGGUGCGGCGCAAGCUUCGCUGCUCGAGUGCUAUCUGUUCGAGAACUUCAUCUGCCUUUGCUGGUUAGACGAUGCUGAUCGAACAUUUUCCUGAGAAAAAAUUAGAGUGUUCAAAGCAGACUAUUGCCAUGAAUAUUACAGCUUGGAAUAAUAGAAUAAGACUGAAGUCUCUUUUGUUGGUUAUGAACUUUAGUAAUGGUUAAUAGAAACAGUCGGGGGUAUUAGUAUUUAAUUGUCAGAGGUGAAAUUCUAUGAUUUAUUAAAGACUAACUUAUGCGAAAGCAUUUGCCAAGGAUGUUUUCAAUUGAUCAAGAACGAAAGUUAGGGGAUCAAAGACGAUCAGAUACCGUCCUAGUCUUAACUAUAAACGAUUCCGACUAUGGAUCGGAAGGGUCUUUUAAACCUUUUCGGCACAUUAUGAGGAAUCAAAGUCUUUGGGUUCCGGGGGAAGUAUGGACACAAGUCUGAAACUUAAAGGAAUUGACGGAAGGGCACACCAGUUGUGGAUUUUGCGGCUUAAUUUGACCCAACACGGGGAAACUUACUAGGGCAAGACUAAGGUUGGAUUGACAGAAUGAGAGCUCUUUCUUUCUUAGGGUGGUGGUGCAUGGCCGUUCUUAGUUGGUGGAGUGAUUUGUCUGGUUAAUUCCGUUAACGAACGAGACCUUAACCU
RNAcentral lists this ribosomal RNA (1276 nucleotides) under metagenome. RNAcentral's name for it is "SSU rRNA". It matches the Rfam family "Eukaryotic small subunit ribosomal RNA", at positions 41 to 1349 of the family's 1831-position model. The record is from RNAcentral.